UACGUAGGGUCCGAGCGUUGUCCGGAAUUACUGGGCGUAAAGAGCUCGUAGGUGGUUUGUCGCGUUGUUCGUGAAAACUCACAGCUCAACUGUGGACGUGCGGGCGAUACGGGCAGACUAGAGUACUGCAGGGGAGACUGGAAUUCCUGGUGUAGCGGUGGAAUGCGCAGAUAUCAGGAGGAACACCGGUGGCGAAGGCGGGUCUCUGGGCCGAUACUGACGCUGAGGAGCGAAAGCGUGGGGAGCGAACAGG
RNAcentral lists this ribosomal RNA (253 nucleotides) under uncultured bacterium. RNAcentral describes it as "partial 16S ribosomal RNA". It matches the Rfam family "Bacterial small subunit ribosomal RNA", at positions 524 to 776 of the family's 1533-position model. The record is from RNAcentral.